GUCUUUUAAUGGUAGGGUUUUGGUUUUAAACAACCUUGUAGCAUCCCAAUUGUGGCACCGUCUGACCUGUGUAGACCCUCCCUCAGGCCUUUUAGCAAAACUACAGAAAGAAAUGGUGGACUUUUUUUUGGGAUGGUCUACACUGGGUGCCACAGGGGGUGCUGUUUUUAUCCAGAGAGGAGGGGGGACAGGGCCUUUUCCACCUGGCCAGCCGAACAGCCACUUUUAGACUUCACUUCACAAAAAUAUCUUACCGGCCCGGCUGAUUUGGUGUGGAGAGAUGUGACCAGCUGCAUUCUCAGACGUGUAAAUAACCUGGGGCUGGAUGCUGCUCUGUUUUUAACUGAUUCUAAUUUUUUUAAGUUAAAUGGGCUGCCUCCGUUUUAUCAGGGUGUUUUUAAGUCUUGGACCCUUUUUAAUGAUAAAAGGUGUCCAAUGUCGGACUCUCUGCACUGGUUGUUGAAGGAGCCUUUGAUUUGCAGAGCCAGGCUGGACGUCAGCAGCAGCAGCACACCCAGCCUGAUGGUGGCGCUCUGCAGGUCCAAAACCCUGUGCUUGCAGCAACUGGUGGAUGCAGUGGGGCCGGCGCUGAGUGAUGCCCGAGCCCUGGGCUUUCUGCUGGGUCUGACCUCCGCUCGAGUGGCCGAGAGGAUUCUGGAGCUGUGGAGCCAGAGGCUAUCUGGGAAGGAGAAGAGCCUAAUAAAAGACUACAGUGACGGGAAGGCUUCUCCAGACCCAGCAGACCCUUUUCCGGAGAUCAACCUGAGCCCAGGGCUGGGAGAACUGACCGGUCCCCUGCUCAAGGUCACUAACCCAGCAGGACUGACGCUGCACAGAGCCGACAAAAAGACUCUAUACACGAACUGUGUAAAAAGCAUCCACAAGAAAGGCCUGUGCAGCAGACCCUCCACUGUGUGGAGUAACAGACUGGGUGGAGGAAGUGGACCAAGCCCACAGUGGGGGUCUUUUUACAAACCUCCCCUCAAAAAGCGGACAGCCGACCUCCAGUGGAGGAUUUUACAUGGUGCCGUCGCUUGUAAC
RNAcentral lists this long non-coding RNA (1041 nucleotides) under Cottoperca gobio. RNAcentral describes it as "lncRNA (ENSCGOG00000015430.1)". The record is from RNAcentral. Lineage: Eukaryota; Metazoa; Chordata; Actinopteri; Perciformes; Bovichtidae.